UCCCUGAUAGUCUGGUGGAUAAGACACUGCACUUCCACUGCAGGGGAGUAGGGUUCUAUCCCUGGUCAGGGAA
RNAcentral lists this transfer RNA (73 nucleotides) under Ovis aries (sheep). It matches the Rfam family "tRNA". From Rfam's summary of the family: Transfer RNA (tRNA) molecules are approximately 80 nucleotides in length. Their secondary structure includes four short double-helical elements and three loops (D, anti-codon, and T loops). The record is from Rfam by way of RNAcentral. Lineage: Eukaryota; Metazoa; Chordata; Mammalia; Artiodactyla; Bovidae.